GGAGCAUCCUAGAUUAAAUAUGUGCACCUAUAUUUGCAUACUGCAGACUCUUCACCUUCCAGCACAGACCCUUUGGCCUCCUGAUACAGACUCACAUGGGGCACCACCACAUGGAGCUCCAGGCCUUCGAGUUGAUCCUUCAGAUCCCCAGUGCAAAGACCUUUUCCACUCUUCUACACCAGACUCUGUGGGUGGCCAUGGGAUCGAACUCAGGUCCUUGAGCUUGUGCAGCAGGCGAUGAAACCACUGAGCUAAAUCCCCAGCCCCUGAUAACACCUUUCAUUAAGAAUGGAAAGGCAUGUUUUGUCCCUUUGUGAUCCUUUGAGAAUGAACAGAAGCUGCCAAGAAAAAG
Molecule: long non-coding RNA, 352 nt
Organism: Heterocephalus glaber (naked mole-rat)
Lineage: Eukaryota; Metazoa; Chordata; Mammalia; Rodentia; Bathyergidae
Source: Ensembl